Molecule: non-coding RNA, 24 nt
Filed under: Arabidopsis thaliana (thale cress)
Lineage: Eukaryota; Viridiplantae; Streptophyta; Magnoliopsida; Brassicales; Brassicaceae
Source: RNAcentral
GGGGUAACUUUACUUCAUUUGAUG